Polypterus senegalus (gray bichir) is the source of this 4075-nucleotide long non-coding RNA. RefSeq lists it as uncharacterized. NCBI's taxonomy places the organism in Eukaryota, Metazoa, Chordata, Cladistia, Polypteriformes, Polypteridae. The transcript has 2 exons. The record is from RefSeq and is a predicted model, not a curated record.
UUCAACCUGGCUGGGACGCUACAAUAUAUAUAUUUGCAUAUGUAUUUUUAUUAUGAUUUAUGGGAUCCUCUCACUUUUAGAUGCCUCUCAUGCCCCGGCCUAGCACACCAUUGGAUGUAUUUGGUUCUUGUACUGGUGCCUUUCUUGAGUUCAGAUAUACCUCUGCAGCCAAGGGCCUUCCACCCUAGAGCGCCACAUAAGUAGAGCUGCUGACAGUGGGCACCAUUAGAGUCUAGCUGUCGACUUUUACACUGUGGUUAAGAUCAGGGUUGUCAAAUACUGUCGCGUACAUUAGCUCCACCUACUUGGAGCUCCAGGAUGGAGUCUCGGGGCUGCAAAGACCCCAGAUACCUUGAGUCUGACGCCGCCGCGGGUCGCCUUUGUCCACGUUUGCCAGACAGGAGUAAAGGAGUUUGAUACCUGGUGGAUGGACGAAAACUAAAAAGGUGCCGGUUCAUACAAUGGCACGUUUCACCUUCUUUGAGGAGGAACUACGCCGAGCUGCCCACAGAGCAGAACAAAGACAAAGAAAAAAGACUCAAGACAAAGGCACAAAGAAGAACUGAAGCUGCAGAGAAAGAACAAUACAGCACUUUUAAGUAAGUAGCAAGUCCAAAUGUUAUACAAUAAUAGGACAAGCCAUUAAUUGUAACAGAUUUAAAAGGGUAUUCCAACAUAAUACAUUUGCAGCAAAUUACCAUUCCAAGAUUUGGAAACUAGUUAAGAAUACCAAAAGUAAGGGCAACAAUUUUGGGCUCACAAAGUGUAGAUACUGGGUAUUAAUUCGCUGGGAUAAUUAAUACAAUUAAUAGUAUUAUUUAGAAAGAGCAAAUUGGUGACCUUUUUAAAGAAGCAGGUGCAGCUGGUACAGUUACAAGUCAGAUUAAGUUUAAUUAGGUCUAACAAUCAAAAAAAAAAAGAUGCCCUGCUGCAGUUGUCAGUUGUACAAACACAGGACCAAUGGACCAAUGCUGAACUAAGGUGUUUAUCACAGCAGGUAUGCCUGUGGUGAUCAAACAACUGUAUCGGUGGCCUACAAGGAGAAUGGUAAGGGUGGCAUAGUAAUAAUGUUUCUCCUGUUGGACAGGAAGACACUUGAUACCCAUGGAGGUCAUGCCAGUGUAUACUGAUAAAGGCUGAUGGCAGUCAACAAGAGUUAUAACACACCAUGCUUGGAAAAACAUAAAAGACAGCUAACCUAGCUGAACUAAGUCAACCCCAAAUUUGUAAAGAGUGGCCACAAGGGUUGGUUUGUGACCGGUUUAUGCAGAGGCACAUCAUGUGCCCCACAUGUACUCUCACAUGGGCAGAGGUGUGUGGCACUGGCACUUGCAGACUGUAACCUUCCAAAUUUUGAAGUUAAUAGUACAGCAGCAUAUGCUUUAAGGAUUACUUGGGAACACAGAUCUAAUUAGCAGUUAGACACAGGACUAACAAAGAUCAGGUGAAAAAAAUUAUUGACUAACAAAGAUCAGGUAAAAAAAAAAAAUUCACAUAAUAGACUUAACAUAAAAUCAGGUCAGUUUAGUCAAAGGCUUGGACUUAUCUCAUUUUGAACCAACAUAUUUGUGGAAUAAUAAAAAGCUUGCAAAAGCUUAAAAAAAAAAAAAGAAGCAGCAGCAAGCCGGGGCAGAGAAAAGUCAUUAGUCACAUCCAAAUUCUUCAGAUUGAAAAAAUAAAAAUGAUAAAAUUUAAAAAUAAAAAUAAAAAAUAAAGAAGAUUAUGCAAUGAGCGAAGAGUCACAACCAGUUUUGAUUGCAGGAAGAACUAUGGCUGCCAUUUGAGGCAGCAUUUGAGAAACUGACCACUGGAACAGUUAACAGUUCUGACUGUACAAAGGACUAUGAUUUAAAAAGCCAAUUAUACAAAAAUCAUCAGAGGUGGAGUGUUAAUGGAGAUUAAUAUAAAAUAUGUUGAUAACUGUAAGAAAUUAUCAGUAAAGAAUUAAAAGAAAAGAAAGAAGUAGUGUUCUUUAAGAUAUAGUAAUUCAGUUCCCAUGCAAGCCUCAAGGUUUUGCCAAGUGCUGCUUUGGAAGUAUACUUUGUAGGGGUUGUGGCAUGUCUCAAACCAGUUUGUCAAGGGUGGUGCUGUGCAGGACAUUCUAUAAGCUCAUUCACCCCACAAUGACUAUAAACUGCCUAGCUGGCAGGAGCAGGCUACAACUGAAGAAAGCAACUGUGGGAUGGGUUGUACUUGUGCACUUUCAUUGAAUGGUCCUGAAAGGGACUAGACUCAUUCAAAUGGUCAUUGGAAUUGGGAUGUGGCUGAAAUAGCUUUGUAUGAACCAUGGGUGUUUGCCUGCAUCCAUUGGUCUAAAGGUAUUCCAAAAGAAGUUGGAGAGUAAAAGACAAGAAUCGUACUUCCCCUCAGUAAAUUUUCUCUGUUCUUCUCUCUAUCACCAUCUGACUGUGAAUAGAGGACCAUCUCUCUCAAACUUACAAUUUCUCCAUGAUGAAGAUAACUCUAUCACGGCACUCAUAUCGAGUGAGGCAUGAGGCCUGUUCCAAUACUCGAUUCAAAGACCAUGUGGUAGCAAAGUCAAAACUAGACUGAAGAUAAUCAGAGACAAGCCAAUGGACGCAACAUACACUGCUACUUUGGCUGUAAUGGUUAAUUUUGUCAAACUUGUUUCAUUUUGGUUAAUGAUUUGGGCAUAUCAUCACACAUAAUUUAAAGUGCAACUCUCUCCUUUAUUUGUUCUUUCUUUUGAUCUGAUUGCCUGCACUUAUAGAUAAAAGAUGAGAAGGUGGGAGUAAGUGCUAAAAUACAGUUCCUGACCACAGAGUGGUAAAAGUAUGGAAUUCAAGACAUUUUAUUAAGGCCUACACAAUAAAGAGUAUAAAGGGGAAAACAGGGUUACGAUAGGACCCUACAAGACAAAACAGAUGUUUUAACAGCAGGCCUAAUGCAAACAAUCACGCAGCAAAACCAACUGAUGGGCCACGAGAAUAGCACCAGUAACCAAUAGGGUGGAUGAACGAAUGAAGAUGGAGCAGUUGUCUUCGACAGGGAAAAAAAGGUGUGAUCAUGUUGUGAUAUUGAAAGAGAAAGUCAGGCAAAGCUCAAUGGUUAGUAAGUGCUGCUUUUUUCGGUGUUGACUACUGGAAAUCUUAAGAUGCAUGCUGACUCUCAUCUUGGUUAUCCAUUCUAAUGUGUUGCCCUCCAGCCCCCGGUCAUGCUGAAAACUACAAUAUGGGAUGAUAGCAGCCCCGCAUCCACCCCUUGCUCUUCAUUCGCAAUGCUGCAAACUCCAGUAGAGACCAACUCUUCACUGUUAAAUCACUUAGUACUGCAGCAUCAGUCCACGAGGGCCAACACACUGAAAAUAACAUCAAACACAGAGGCAUGCCCUAACGCACUCUGGGCUUUCAUUGCAAACUAUGUGCAGAAUUUUUUCUAACAACACAGCAGUGCUUAUACUUGACCUUGCUUUGCUAAUUUUGGUUAAUGAUUCAGACACUCCACAUUUUUCUUCCCCCAACCCUCUUAAAAGUUAGUAAUAACAGGUACAACUCUUCUUCCAUCAGCAAAGUAUCACUUUCUCUGCUAUGACACUGUUAGAUUUGCAACAUUGACCAAAAACUAUUACCCAUCUGUACUGACAAGUAGGCUAUCAACGAGGCGAUCAGAUGGGCUACUACAGUUAUGAAUGUGUUCAGGUCACUGACAGCAUGUGUACUUUAUCUUGGGGUCUGCACAAAGGCUUCAUGCAAGAAGUAUUAACAAGCCCUGAGAAAGGGGUGAUAGAAUUUCUAAUGUGGAAGCCACAUACAUUUUGUCUUGACACUUGAAGUUACAAACGCCAUGCUCUUCAUGUUAUUAAUAUAACACAUAGGGUACCAGUGCUUAUGUAUAUACACUUGAAGCACUGCUUUGCAUAUACAUUAACAUCUGCAGAUUUUAAACAGGGACUACAUACAACUGGUGAAAACACAAAAGUGCUGUAUUUGAGUGAAAAACAUUAAGAAAUGAAAACUGUAAACAUUUAAUAAUAUUAUUAAGUUAUUAUUUGGUACCUUUAUCCAAAGAGACUUUUGGAGACAUUUGAAAUACAGUUGGUCACAAAAAAAAAAAA